Molecule: non-coding RNA, 71 nt
Organism: Mesocricetus auratus (golden hamster)
Lineage: Eukaryota; Metazoa; Chordata; Mammalia; Rodentia; Cricetidae
Source: Rfam
GAAGAUGGCUCAGAGGUUAAGAGCACUGGCUGUUCUUCCAGGAUACCUGGGUUCAAUUCCCAGCACCUACA